GCAAACUUGGUCAUUUAGAGGAAGUAAAAGUCGUAACAAGGUUUCCGUAGGUGAACCUGCGGAAGGAUCAUUAUUGAGUGAAGGGCUUCCAUCUGUGGAACCCGAUCUUCCCAACCCUUGCGUUCUUUUACCGAUUUGCUUUGGUGGACCCGUCACUGCGGUGACCGCCGAAGGGUGCGAGCUGAUAGAACUCGCCCUUGGGCCCGUGCCCGCCAGAGAUAUAUCUGAAUGCUGAUUAUAGAAAUUGUUUCUGAGUGAUGAAAGAAAUAAAAAAACUUUCAACAACGGAUCUCUUGGUUCCGGCAUCGAUGAAGAACGCAGC
This 322-nucleotide unclassified non-coding RNA is filed under the name uncultured fungus. RNAcentral describes it as "partial contains small subunit ribosomal RNA, internal transcribed spacer 1, and 5.8S ribosomal RNA". The stretch from base 1 to 73 matches the Rfam family "Eukaryotic small subunit ribosomal RNA", at positions 1759 to 1831 of the family's 1831-position model. Lineage: Eukaryota; Fungi. The record is from RNAcentral.